CAUGCAGGGAUCCCCGAUCUUCCGCUGAUACCAUACGCCACCGUUCUCGCUUCAUCACCAUAUAAUCCGGCCUUUGAUUCCUUUUCUUUCUUGCCCCAUCUCACUCUCUCUCUCUCUCUCUCUUAGUUCCAACUUAUUUCUCUUGCCCCAUCUCACUCUCUUAAUUCCCAACUUAUUUGAUCUGAUGGAAAGCUUCACCAGUUCGCGAAUUCAACGGGAUUUGUUCAUAUUUUGGUAGAUGUGCGAAACGACAAAUCUAAAUCACUGAUCGACAAGAUGUCCACUUCUACUGGGUUCCUCGUUUCUACUCAGGUAUGCAUUUUUGUUCAAACUUUUACUUCGAACUAUUAACGUGUUUACCCAAAUUCGAAAUACACACGAACCCUUUUUCAAGUUGGGUGG
RNAcentral lists this long non-coding RNA (402 nucleotides) under Helianthus annuus (common sunflower). Its description in RNAcentral is "hypothetical non coding rna". Lineage: Eukaryota; Viridiplantae; Streptophyta; Magnoliopsida; Asterales; Asteraceae. The record is from RNAcentral.